Molecule: ribosomal RNA, 258 nt
Filed under: uncultured bacterium
Lineage: Bacteria
Description: partial 16S ribosomal RNA
Rfam family: Bacterial small subunit ribosomal RNA
Source: RNAcentral
UGGCGGACGGGUGAGUAACGCGUGGAAAACCUGCCGUAUACUGGGGGAUAACACUUAGAAAUAGGCGCUAAUACCGCAUAAGCGCACAGCUUCGCAUGAAGCGGUGUGAAAAACUCUGGUGGUAUACGAUGGUUCCGCGUCUGAUUAGCUAGUUGGUGGGGUAAUGGCCUACCAAGGCAACGAUCAGUAGCCGGCCUGAGAGGGUGAACGGCCACAUUGGGACUGAGACACGGCCCAAACUCCUACGGGAGGCAGCAG